UACGUAGGGGGCAAGCGUUGUCCGGAAUCAUUGGGCGUAAAGAGCGUGUAGGCGGCUUGGUAAGUCCGCUGUGAAAGUCCAGGGCUCAACCCUGGACAGGCGGUGGAAACUACCAAGCUGGAGUACGGUAGGGGCAGAGGGAAUUUCCGGUGGAGCGGUGAAAUGCAUUGAGAUCGGAAAGAACACCAACGGUGAAAGCACUCUGCUGGGCCGACACUGACACUGAGAGACGAAAGCUAGGGGAGCAAAUGGG
RNAcentral lists this ribosomal RNA (253 nucleotides) under uncultured bacterium. Its description in RNAcentral is "partial 16S ribosomal RNA". It matches the Rfam family "Bacterial small subunit ribosomal RNA", at positions 524 to 776 of the family's 1533-position model. The record is from RNAcentral.